Non-coding RNA from Podarcis lilfordi (Lilford's wall lizard), 75 nucleotides. NCBI's taxonomy places the organism in Eukaryota, Metazoa, Chordata, Lepidosauria, Squamata, Lacertidae. The record is from the annotation of a GenBank genome assembly.
UUGAGAUAGCUCAGCUGGUAGAGCACGAGACUCUUAAUUACAGGGUCGUGGGUUCAAGCUCCACACAGGGCAAAA